ACUACGGGGUGCAGCAGUGAGGAAUAUUGGUCAAUGGGCGCGAGCCUGAACCAGCCAAGUCGCGUGAGGGAGGACGGCCCUACGGGUUGUAAACCUCUUUUGCCGGGGAGCAACGGGCGUCACGUGUGGCGCCACUGAGAGUACCCGGAGAAAAAGCAUCGGCUAACUCCGUGCCAGCAGCCGCGGUAAUACGGAGGAUGCGAGCGUUAGCGGGAUUUAUUGGGUUUAAAGGGUGCGUAGGCGGAUCGUUAAGUCAGUGGGAAAAUUGAGGGGUUCAACCCCUUCCCGCCAUUGAAACUGGCGCUCUUGAGUGGAAGAGAAGUAUGCGGAAUGCGUGGUGUAGCGGUGAAAUGCAUAGAUAGCACGCAGAACCCCGAUUGCGAAGGCAGCAUGCCGGCUUCCGACUGACGCUGAAGCACGAAAGCGUGGGGAUCGAACAGGAUUAGAUACCCUAGUAGUC
This 460-nucleotide ribosomal RNA is filed under the name uncultured bacterium. Its description in RNAcentral is "partial 16S ribosomal RNA". It matches the Rfam family "Bacterial small subunit ribosomal RNA", at positions 338 to 795 of the family's 1533-position model. The record is from RNAcentral.